RNAcentral lists this ribosomal RNA (188 nucleotides) under uncultured bacterium. Its description in RNAcentral is "partial 16S ribosomal RNA". It matches the Rfam family "Bacterial small subunit ribosomal RNA", at positions 1314 to 1500 of the family's 1533-position model. The record is from RNAcentral.
GACUGCAUGAAGCUGGAAUCGCUAGUAAUCGCGAAUCAGAAUGCCGCGGUGAAUACGUUCCCGGGUCUUGUACACACCGCCCGUCACACCAUGGGAGUCGGAAAUGCCCGAAGUCAGUGACCCAACCGUAAGGGAGGGAGCUGCCGAAGGUGGAGCCGGUAACUGGGGUGAAGUCGUAACAAGGUAGC